CAGCAGUGGGGAAUAUUGGACAAUGGGCGGAAGCCUGAUCCAGCAACGCCGCGUGAGGGAUGACGGCCUUCGGGUUGUAAACCUCUUUCACCAUUGACGAAGCUGCCUGUUUUUGCGGGUGGUGACGGUAGGUGGGGAAGAAGCACCGGCCAACUACGUGCCAGCAGCCGCGGUAAUACGUAGGGUGCGAGCGUUGUCCGGAAUUAUUGGGCGUAAAGGGCUCGUAGGCGGUUUGUCGCGUCGGGAGUGAAAACCUCGGGCUUAACUCGGGGCUUGCUUUCGAUACGGGCAGACUAGAGGUAUGCAGGGGAGAACGGAAUUCCUGGUGUAGCGGUGAAAUGCGCAGAUAUCAGGAGGAACACCGGUGGCGAAGGCGGUUCUCUGGGCAUGAUCUGACGCUGAGGAGCGAAAGUGUGGGGAGCGAACAGGAUUAGA
This 435-nucleotide ribosomal RNA is filed under the name uncultured Nocardioides sp. RNAcentral's name for it is "bacterial SSU rRNA". It matches the Rfam family "Bacterial small subunit ribosomal RNA", at positions 349 to 782 of the family's 1533-position model. Lineage: Bacteria; Bacillati; Actinomycetota; Actinomycetes; Propionibacteriales; Nocardioidaceae. The record is from RNAcentral.